UGGGGGAAUAUGCACCCAGCUGUUUACAUUCCCACAAGUGUUCCUCUUCUAUUCUUGAGAACAUAUAACCAUUUGGAAGAAUUGUAGGUUCCCAGAUUUUCAAAAGUUUUGUAAGUUCAAUCAUAAACCUGGAAUAGGGCUCGGUAAAAAUGUUAUCUAUUCUACCAUUCUCAAACAGGUACUGCUGAAUUCCAAGGCACAAAUAUAAGAUGCUGUCAGGAUCAUAUUUUUCUCCAUUCGGUCUCCGCACCUCUUGAAUAAACUGGCACAGGCCAAAACUCAGCUCAGCAAAAGUGCACGAGAGAAUGUCCUCCUUGAGUUUCACAGGACGAACUGUGGUGAAGAACAUGAUUAAAGAAAUAUCUUUAUUCAAGAGAUUAAAUCUUUACAUUUAAGUAUUAGAGAGUUCACUGAGUCCAAGAUAUGGUGCAGCAAUGGUAAUGUGUACUCAGGCUGGCAACGCAGGGUUAGUAAAUCCUUCAUAGCUGG
Molecule: long non-coding RNA, 489 nt
Filed under: Gallus gallus (chicken)
Lineage: Eukaryota; Metazoa; Chordata; Aves; Galliformes; Phasianidae
Source: RNAcentral